RNAcentral lists this ribosomal RNA (253 nucleotides) under uncultured bacterium. RNAcentral describes it as "partial 16S ribosomal RNA". It matches the Rfam family "Bacterial small subunit ribosomal RNA", at positions 524 to 776 of the family's 1533-position model. The record is from RNAcentral.
UACGAAGGGGGCUAGCGUUGUUCGGAAUUACUGGGCGUAAAGCGCGUGUAGGCGGGUCUUUAAGUCAGGGGGGAAAUGCCAAGGCUCAACCUUGGAACUGCCUUUGAUACUGGAGACCUUGAGUCCGGGAGAGGUGAGUGGAAUCGCGAGUGUAGAGGUGAAAUUCGUAGAUAUUCGCAAGAACACCAGUGGCGAAGGCGGCUCACUGGCCCGGUACUGACGCUGAGGCACGAAAGCGUGGGGAGCAAACAGG